CAGAUCCAUAGUUGAAUCAGAUAUCAGAUGCCUUGAAGUAAGUAAUCUCAUUUGUUUCUUCAACUAGAAUUCUUUUUUAAAUGUUCAUAGUUAGAACUAGCAUAGUGUCUUGGUUGGAACGUGUGUUUUUAUCUUCUUUUGUUUUUAGUGUAAAGGUUUUUUUUUAGUGUAAAACAUAAAUAUAUAAUCUUGGCAUUUCAAAAGCUCAUGUUUUUUUAUCUGACUGUUUAUGACGUCUUUACACUAAAUCCAUGGGAUGUUGGAUGUGUACGGAUUGUUAAAAAGUAAAAUCACAAAAAACUGACCUCAGAGGAAAAUCAAAUCGGUUUGUCCCUAUUCACAUUGCAAAACCGAAUGACAAAAGACAUAAAAAACGAAUGGACAAGAUAUGCCAUACUCCUAACUUGGUACACGGGCAUUUUCAAAUGUAGAAGUUGGAGGAUUUAACUGGUUUUAUAGCGUUAAACCUUUUACUUUGUACGACAGUCCAAAAAAAGUCCGUUAUAUUUACAAUGAUGCCUGAACUAAACAGACAUAAAAAAUAAAAGUGUCAAGAUUUGGGUACAACAGUCAUCAUCGUGUUAAUUUAGUCUCAGAUGUUUUUUUUUUUGUUAGUUGUCAGUUAACUGCGAGUACUUUUAGAUAUGUUCCUAGUGUCUUUUUGUUGUUGGUAUAAUCAACUUCCCGGCCACGUCCACUUGUGUUUUAGUCCAUCUGAUGAGUUUAGGCUUUUUCAACUGAUGUUUAUUGUUCGUUAUUAUGUUGUACUGUUAUACCACUGUCCCAGGUUGGGAGAGGAUUAGGAUUCCGCUAACAUGUUCAAACCCGCUACAUUAUGUAUGUUUGUGCUUGUCGCAAGUCAGGUUGUCGUUUGUUUAUGUGUUACCUUUUUGUUUUUCGUUCUUGUUUUGUACAAAAAGGUCGUUAUUUUUCUGGUUUGAAUUGAUUUACUUUGUCAUUUCGGAGCCUUAUUUAGCUGACUAUGCGGUAUUGGCUUUGCUUAUUGUUGAAGGCCGUACGGUGACCUAUGGUUGUUAAUUUCUGUGUCAUUUUGGUCUAUUGUGGAGAGUUUUCUCAUUGGCAGUCAUACCAAUGUAUUAUCAGUAUUUAGUUCUAAUAUAAUCUUAAAGCAAUUAUCAGUAUUUAGUUCUAAUAUAAUCUUAAAGCAAUCCUAAUUAUAGCUCACUUUUAAAUUAUAGUUUUUCAUGUGUGACGUCAUGCUGUUUCUAAAUUUCAUAAAUUCAAAUGUGGCAUAACGUUUGCCUUUUCGCCAUCGUAUGUGACGUCAUUUUUUUUAGUUGCGUUGACGCCGCGACUGAUUCUGGUGUGUCUAUGCUGUAUUGAACUUGGCAUCAUGUAUUCGGGUUUAGUUUUCUGUAAUAAGUUAAUACUUCAGUUUCAUUAUGAAUAUAUCUUUCACAUUCAUUUGUUAAAGUUUACUGUUUGCAAUAGUAUGAAUCGUUCUAUAUAAUAGUGUUCUUAUCCCAGGCAUAAAAACAAUGCUGUAUUUGGCAAAACCUUUUCAACUUUUGAUCUUCAGUGCUGUACAUCUUUGUACUUUUUUCACAUUCGAUCUUGUAUAUCUGGGCGUUAUGUAUUCGGGUUAAGUUUUCUGUAAUUAGUUUUCUGUAAUUAGUUAAUACUUCAGUUUCAUUAUGUAUAUCUCUUUCAUAUUCAUUUGUUAAAAUUUACUGUUUGCAAUAGCAUGAAUUGUUCUAUAUAAUAAGAAUGUUCUUAUCCUGGGCAUACAAACAAUGCCGUAUUUGGCAAAACCUUUUCAACUUUUGAUCUUCAGUGCUGUACAACUUUGUACUUUUUUCACUUUCGAUCUUUUAUAUCUGGGCGUCACUGGUGAGUCUUGUGUGGACAAGACGCGAGUUUUUGGCGUAUUGAAUUUUAAACCUGAUGCUUUUUGUUAUGUAUUAUUCAUGCUUUUCUUUGUCUAAUAUGUUCUCCUUUUUAUUUGUAUUGUAGUACUGUAAUAUUAUGUUGUCAUUUCAAUGUUAUAUUUAACUGUGCCAUUAAAGUGCGAGGUUUGGCAUGCCAUAAAACCAGGUUCAACCCACCACUUUUAUUCCCCUUUAAAAGUGUCCUGUACCAAGUCAGGAAGAUGGACAUUGUUAUAAUAUUGUUUGUUUCUGUGUGUGUUGCAUUUUACGUUGAGUCGUUUGUGUUUUCUCUUAUUUUUGAGAUAUUGAGAUAAGACGUGGCACGGUACUUGUCUAUCCCAAAUUCAUGUAUUUGGUUUUGAUGUUAUAUUUGUUAUUCUCGUGGUGUUUUGUCUGUUGCUUGGUCUGUUUCUGUUGUGUUUGCGUUUUCGGUGUUGUGUCGUUGUUCUCCUCUCUAUAUUUAAUGCGUUUCCCUCGGUUUUAGUUUGUUACCCCGAUUUUGUUUUUUGUCCAUGGAUUUAUGAGUUUUGAACAGCGGUAUACUACUGUUGCCUUUAUAUACCACAUCUUCUUUUUUCUAUAUACAAGAUUAUAUUAUGUUACUAAUUUAGUAUUUGUAAUGACUCUCUGUUCAUACCCCAUUAAGACCGGACAUCGACAUGGACUUGUAUGUGGACAAGUAACUGUACAUAGCCGAACGGACGCUCUCUUAUGUGUUUGUGUAUUGUUUGUGCUUGACGGAGGGAUCUAAGUGUCCAUAUCUUCAUUCACCAGUCCCCCUUGAAUGCAUACAGUUUUAAGACGAUUUGUUAUAAAUUUUGCCAAAAUUGUCUACCGAGCUGAUGAUUACCGACAAAAAUAAGACAUUAAUUUGACUACUAAGAUGGAGAUCGUGUUGGCUUAGUAAGACAUACAAGACCAUGUCCACGUCCGGUCAAACUUGUUCUUGGUCCGGCGUUGGCCUGUGACAAAGCAAAUUUUCUUUCUAUCCAAUAUUCAUUAACUUCCUAAAACCUACCUGUUGUGUGUAUUGUUAAUUUAUUUUUGUCCUGAACAUGAUGACAAAUUUUUCACUGGACCUUAGGAAACCAACAUUUAGUCAUUUAAAAAUUUCUUUAGUGGAACCUUAGAUGGUGUUUUAAUUUUUAUUUCUUCUUUGUAAAUUAACUCUUCAACUGUUUCGGUUAUGUUACAUUCCCGAAAUUCACAUUUUUCACAUUAAGAAGUUCCGGAUAAAAAUGAGACCAGAAAAACGCUUUGGACAACAACUAUUUAUAAAGUAAUAAUUUCAUUUUGAUUAGAUAUUUUAUUAAUUUUAAGUUGUAUAGUCAAUUAUGAAGAAGACUAGGGCGGAUUAAGUUUCAUUUUUCUAGUUUCGUUUGUUAAUUUUAAUACCUACUGUGACAUCGGACUCUGACUUCGUUUAAACUGAUAAUACUGUGGGUAUUGUUGUGUGUGUGUGUUUUUUUACACAUUUUUUUGUACAUUGACUAAAGGUUUAAAACAUGUUAAACCCAGCCGCAUUUGUUUGCUCCUGACAUGAGUCAUGAGCCUGUGUCCGUUGUUAGUCUUGUAGGAUUUUUGAUUAAAGUUCUAUUAUAUGUUUUUAAAUUUAGUUUGACUGUUUUUACCAUUUUUACUGAACAAGUACACAUUUUUAUUUAGGGGCCAGCAAAAGCCCGGCUGCGGUACCGGAAUUUUCUCGCUGUGUUGAAGACUCAUUGGUUUUCUUUCGUUAUGUUCUGCUCAGAAGUCGAAGUGUUGUUUCUUUGACAUUUUCUCUAUUUCCUCAUUCUCUUCACCGUAUAUGACUUAUUAUUAUUGGUAGAAUGUAAAUAUAUCUAGUAAACACACUGACAUAUGUUAUGUUUCUCAAUAAUUUAUCAAUUUGAACUAUAUCUGUAUAAUUUGAGGUAUAACUAUGUGUACUUAAAUCUUUAGUGCGUGACCGUACCCCUUUCGUUGUAGAAACAGAUACACCGUAUUGUCACACGGACUAAACAAUAGCUAAACCGAUAAGCUAAUUUCAUUAUAAAUCAUUGUGUUGUGUUGAAAUCACUGGCAAUUUGAUAAUAAUUUAUGUCAGACGCAUAAACCAAAAUAUUCGACAUUUGAUGGGACCUUGUAAACAGUUUAUACAGUCAUAUACUCAGAUCAUAUUCGUAGAUAUAUAUCAUAACAACAUUUUGGUCUAGCGUGUCAUGUUUAUCAUGGAGUUAUUGUGAUCUAGCUUUUCAUAUUUGUCAUGGAGUUAUUGUGGUAUAGCUUAUCAUGGGUUUCAUGGAGUUAAUGUGGUGACAGGUUAUCACAGCUAAGUGCGUGUCAUGUUUGUCAUGGAGUUAUUGUGGUCUUACAUGCCAUGUUUGUCAAGGAGUUAGUGUGGUCUAGCGUGUUAUGUUUAUCAUAGAGCAAUUGUGGUCUAGCGGGUCAUGUUUGUCAUGGAGUUAUAGUGGUGACUUUUCAUCACAGCUAAGUGCUAAAAUUUUCAGUUUUCUGUGUUGAAUAUUGAUCGCCUUCAUUUCGUUACACAUGAUUCAGUCGGAUUUUUGUUUUUUAAUUGUUCCAUUGGUAUACUCAUGAUACUAGUAUUCCUACAUUUUGCUCUUUUUUUUUUAAAUUUGCUUUCCUUCGAAUUUCGAAAUUUGUUUUUGUUUUUUAAGUAAUAACGACAAAAAUUAGUUAUGAACUCCCUCUUUCCCUGCACACCAUGUUCAUAUGUAUUCCUCUUUUAUAAAAUGUAGAUUCUCACACCAACCCUUCCAUUCUUAAAAAAAAAAUCUAUAAUGCAUUUAAUUUCGAAUAUACAAAUAGUGUAAACGGUUACUUUAAUAUUAUAUCAUUGGACAUCAGACAUAUAUUUUGUACAAAAGUAUCACUGCAUGAAUAAUUUCGUAUAUGAGUUAACUGCACAGGCCAACACAUCAGUGUAAACAACUGUUUCGUAAAGCAACUCUUUUACAAAUAUGUUUGUUUUAAUGUUGAUUCUAGUAUGAAGCUUUAUAUGUUCUAGUACACAAUGAUUUGUCCUUACACGCUAACGGUUUUUUUUUACUUUUUGUAUGAAUAUGUUGUUGCUAUACAAUUAUAUAAGACAUAAAAGUGUCUUAUGAAAAAGUGUCCACAUGGACACUUUUCAUUGAAAUUUGGUAUUUAAUAAUGUCCAUUGCCAUGGAAUGGUGUCCUUCAAAAGGACAGAUUUUUACUGCUAACAAUAGGAAAUAGUGUCCACUCACAGGAAAAAUUUUCAUAGUAGUUGUUAUAUGAUUUCUUUUGUGGACAAACUCUUUUUUUUUGCCUUCGGCGAAGAACAAUCUAUUUUAUCGGCGACAAGUCAUAGAUAGGAAGAUAAGGGUGGCAUGAGUGCUAAUGAGACAAUUUUUAUGUCAAACUAACACUUUAUUGAAGUUCGUAAUUAAAGUUAAAAUGCGUCCAGUAAUAACAAUGCCAUGGAUAUCAUUUAAUACUUUAAUCAUAUCAAAAAAUGCCCUGGCGGACACAAUGUCCUGUGAAAAAAAUGUCCACCUGGACAAUAUUAUGGUAGGGAAUAAUGUCCAUGUUCAUGGACACUUUUUCAUACCCGAGGACAUGUUUUCAUAGGAAAUUGUGUCCAGGGCACAUUUAGAUAAGUAAAUAUUGUCAAAAUGUGUCCGGUGGACAUUUUUUCAUGGAGGACAUUAUCAAAUCCUACAAUUACACGACUUAAAAUGUUCUCAUACAUAUCAUUGUAUACUUAGUAACAGACAAUAGAAAAUCUAUCCAAUUGUAUCUCCUCAUAAACAUUAUGUUUUUUAAAGUUUUAAUUCAAAACACAUUUUGGAGAUUGAGAUAGAUGAUCCCUGACUAUUAAAAUAAUCUUUAAAUCAGUUGUCUUUGUUUCGGUGAGUGUCAUAUUUUCAAAGAUUGGUGAGGCGUUUAAAGACUGUUUAGAAAAAAGAAUAAUACAAUUGUCGUGAUCACAGUAGGUCAUGUUUAAGAAUAUCAGGUCAAAUUAUGUCUGUGUCACAAUAAACAAAAUUAAAGGAAGGCUUGUUGUGCAUUUGUUUUUUAAUUUAUUCAUUCCUAAUAAUAACAUCAAGUAUUUUAUUUUCAAAACAUUCUAAACACCAUCUUAAAAUUUAUUGUGUAAACUUAUUCUGAAAUUAUGUUCUCAACUCUCACAGGCAACGUUGCCCUUAGGUAGAUUAGGCUCUUAAAUUGGGUCCUUUUGAGUCAUCAAGCUCCUUACUGUUUCGGUUUCUUAUACAUUUUUGUCUUUAAAAUAUUCAGCUUUGAAAGUUCCUGGUCAAUGUAAACCCAAAGAUGACAGUUUGGAGGUAUGAAACUUAUAAUUGUUGUUUUCAUUUUUGAAUUAAAAUUGAUUUGAGAACAUUGUUAUUUAAUUAUUAAUUACCACUCUUCGGUGCAGAUAAUGAUCCGUACCAUUAUAUAAGUAAAUGGCUGAUGAAUUACAAGACUAGUAUACACAAAUAUUCACAGGACAUAAAGUAUUACGCGGAAGAAUUUUGUGUUCGUUCUUAACGAAAAAACAGAAGUAACUUGUAACAUAAACCAAACACGGAUUGCAAUUCCAUCUAUUUUCUACUCCACAACGAAUCAAAUAGUACACUUUAGCAGUAUAACCAAAUGUUUAGGUCCCUACUAUUGAUUGGUUAUACCAAAACAUUCUGUUAAAUGUCGUAUCAUCUUAGUUUAAAAAAAAUAAUAUCAUUGCAAAACUAUAGAAUUUUCAAAUAAAUAAUCAAGUUAAAAAAAACUGAAAUGUUAGCUUUGUUCCAUAUAUGAAUAGUUGAUUGAUUAAUAACAAACUCAUUAGAGCUUAAGUUUAACAUGUUUAAAAUGUUUGUCAAAUAUGACGAAUCCAAAUAAAGUUUGACUUGCUCACUUUGAACCGCGAUGGUACUCCAAACCGCAAUGGUAACGCUGAAGUGUGAUGGUUUAACACUGAAGUGUGGUUUAUCACGCUGAAGUGCGAUGGUAGCAUUGUGAUGCUAUAUCUUGCAGGUCAGAUCAAAGAUUUUGAAAAAGCGGGCCCGGCGUGCCCAAAUUUGAUAAAGUUUGGAGCGGAACAGGUAAAAAAGGUCUGCAUUAACCACAAAUGAAGCUCCAAAAAGGGCCGGGAACGGCACAAACCCCGGCCCCUCCUCCUACAUCCCUCUUUGUUGGUAUAGCUACGCCGAAGUGCGUUGGUAAAAACGAUGUAUUACAAUGAUAAACUAUAUUGUCUAUGUUUGUAUGUUCGCAUAGCGUUAUAAGAGUCACCAAUAUGAUAAUAUAAGUCAGUACACUAUACUCAGUGUGGACAUGUACAUCAAGGCAGACGCGGAGCUGCGUUAACGUCAAAACGCACGGGCGUAGCACUUGAAUUUCAGUUAACAAACCGUGAUUUUAAUCUAAAUAAAAUUUGAAAAAAAACAUUUUUUUUAAUUAUCCAGAACUUUUACAAACCUUUAUAACUAAUGUCUCAAGUAAAAUUUUUGAAGUAGUUUUUUUUCAUUUUUCAGUAUUGUAUUGAACAUGCUUACAUACGAACUAAUCUUUUUGCAAUUAACAGACGCUCUGGGAUUAUUUUUAUAAUGACGUAAACCUUUAUAGAUUGUCAUGAAACUUAGGCAUACGCUAAUAUUCAAGAUCAAGAACAAAAUAUUUCUUGAAAGGAAAGUCAGUGCCGCUUGAUUUAAAAAAAAACAAUCCUGUCGACUAGUUAAGUGGUAAAUGGAUUCACUUUUUUGCAGUCAACAUUACACUUUAAUAUACUGAAAAAAGCAAGUACUGGCGAGACCUAGAAUUUCACAGAAGCGGAUUUAAGGGGUUGGGGUAUUUUUAACAUGUUGAUUUUUUUUGUAUGUCAGAAUAUUUAUUUCCAAAAUCAAUUAAGCAAUGCCUUCCCAUCCCCAGUUGGCAAACCGUAGAUCUUAAGGUCAAGUUGGUAUUUUAAACAAUAUCGGACAAUCCGUAAGUGUGAUAUGUUAUGACAAGUAGUUGACAAAAGACGUAUCAUUUCAAGUUUACAUCCCAUUUGAAUUAUUGCGCGGAAAGAACUCGCACGUGUUUCAAUUAAAUAAGUUAUUUCCCCUUAGAACCGCGAAAAGCCAGGUAAGUUUCUUCCUGGUUAAAUUCCUCUUCAAACUUCCUGAUAAUGUCUGUGCUCUGCAAAAAAUAGUUAUUAUGUGAACUUUAAAAGAAGCAAGGUAAGAAAGAGAUUUUAACAUUUUGUUUUUCUCUGUGUCUCGACGUGAAAAAUCAUAUCAAAUGAUAAAAUCUUUAAAUAUUAAAAAAAAAAGACCAACACCACCAUUAAAUAACAUUUAACAGGUGUUUAAACAUGCACAACUUGCCAGAGAGUUUUACAUGUAGAAUGUGGGCAGAAUACGGAAUAAGAAAUCAAUGACGCAUAUCAUGUAGCAUGUAUGAUCAUAUAUCUAAGACGCAAGUAUACAUUGAACAACUUUCGUUUCUGUGCACACUGCCACUGUUGCACUUUUUUUUAAAGUAAAUCCCUCCAAUGUGAGCACAUAUACAUGCCAUAUAGCUGAAUUUGUUAAUAACGGAAACGUAGGAAAAAAUACAUUAAUUCAUAACUAAAAUGCUGCAUACAAGUUUUAUUAUUUUUCACCAUUUAUGUGUAUUGUAUCAAUGUAUGUCCUGUAUCUUCUUCCUUUAAUAGGAGCACCACCCACAGGAGUUUGAAAUCCUAUCAAUAAGGGGGUAAAAAUAUACCAAAGUCGACUAUCACAGUAGAAGCUCUACUGUGAUAGUCGACUUUGGUAUAUUGUUUUCUUCGAGAGAAGCUCUACUGUGCUAGGUUUUUGUGUAGGAUUACAUAUUGUUCGCCAUGAAAUUAUGUCCAUCCGACACUUUUUCACAAUAAAUUGUGUCCCAAGAAUUUAAUGUUGUUAUAAAAUAUUGUCUGGACAAUAGUUACCUGAGAUAACAGUCAAGGGUCUAACUUAAAUAAGUUAUUAGAGAAAAUAACACAUAAGACAAACACAAAAACAAUCUGCAGGACAAAGAAGAAAAGGUAGAGAGGCUAAAAUUCUGUCGACCCCUUAUUGCUCUUAAAACAACAAUGUUAACCCAUUUUUAAGUUCUUUGUUUAUAAACAAUAUUUGAUAGAGAGAAACUGAAAUAAAGAAAUAAAGAUCAUCAGGACAAGAUCUACAAAUAAGGUAAAAUGAUAUUUGUACAGGUCAGAGUUAUCUUUCUUUGCUAUUUUCAUAGUAUAGUGUGUGGGUCUUUUAUAUGAUAAAAAGUUAUUUUGAUGAUGUUACCUUAAACCUUUGAUAAAGAAUCUACAUAUCUUUACAACCGAGUGCUUGUUAUACUCAUGCCUAUUUCCACUCGGUUUCAUAUCAACAUCACUGGAGCCUCUAGUUACUAUCACUAUAUCAUUUUCAUGUUUCAGUGACAUCUUUUUUUUUUUGCAGGAACACUUGAACCAUUAAGUAACAAUGAUAUAGGUUUCUAUUGUAAAGCCAAUCUGAAAUCAUGGCUUCUCUUUCUGAAGAAGAGGAGAAUUAUGUCCGGUUAGCCUUGUUAUUGAAAGGAGUGACACCUAGAGCAGUCCGUACCUAUUUUGACAGAGAAUUUUCACCUACCUCUCUACCCUCAACACUGAGUACAAGCCACAACACUCUUUUGGACUUAAAAAUAAAGAGAAUCAUAAACCAGGCUCAGUGGAAUCUUUUGAUUCCAAGAAAUGGUAGGUCUUUAUGUGACUGCAGAAUUUUUGUUAAUUAAGAUUGUAUUCACAUGUGGUUCAUUUUUUUUUCUGGUGAUGGCUACAAAACAAAAAAAAUAUUAUUUAUGAAUGAACAUCUUCAAUAUUUUUCUUACUACUAUUUUUUUUUACAUACUUGUUGCUUUUAAGUUAAGUUUACUUCUGUAUUGAUGGCCUAGAUGUAUAAAGGAACAACACAUGAGUGAGUGUGUUUUAUGUAUCGAUGGCGUAGAUGUAAAAAGGAACAACACUUUAGUGAGUGUGUUCAAUGUAUCGAUGGCCUAGAUGUAUAAAGGAACAACGCUUGAUGGAGUGUGACCUAUGUAUCGAUGGCCUAGAUGUUUAAAGAAACAACACUUGAGUGAGUGUGUUCUAUGUAUCGACGGCCUAGAUGUUUAAAGAAACAACACUUGAGUGAGUGUGUUCUAUGUAUCGAUGGCCUAGAUGUAUAAAGAAACAAUACUUGAGUGAGUGUAUUCUAUGUAUCGAUGGCCUAGAUGUUUAAAGAAACAAUACUUGAGUGAGUGUAUUCUAUGUAUCGAUGGCCUAGAUGUUUAAAGAAACAACACUUGAGUGAGUGUGUUCUAUGUAUCGAUGGCCUAGAUGUAUAAAGGAACAACACUUGAGUGAGGGUGUUCUAUGUAUCGAUGGCCUAGAUGUAUAAAGGAACAACACUUGAGUGAGUGUGUUCUAUGUAACGAUGGCCUAGAUGUAUAAAGAACAACACUUGAGUGAGGUGUUCUAUGUAUCGAUGGCCUAGAUGUAUAAAGGAACAACACUUGAGUGAGUGUGUUCUAUGUAACGAUGGCCUAGAUGUAUAAAGGAACAACACUUGAGUGAGUGUGUUCUAUGUAACGAUGGCCUAGAUGUAUAAAGGAACAACACUUGAGUGAGGGUGUUCUAUGUAUCCAUGGCCUAGAUGUAUAAAGGAACAACACUUGAGUGAGUGUGUUCUAUGUAUCGAUGGCGUAGAUGUAUAAAGGAACAACACUUGAGUGAGUGUGUUCUAUGUAUCGAUGGCGUAGAUGUAUAAAGGAACAAAACUUGAGUGAGUGUGUUCUCUGUAUCGAUGGCCUAGAUGUAUAAAGGAACAACACUUGAGUGAGUGUGUUCUAUGUAUCAAUGGCCUAGAUGUAUAAAGAAACAACACUUGAGUGAGUGUGUUCUAUGUAUCGAUGGCGUAGAUGUAUAAAGAAACAACACUUGAGUGAGUGAGUUCUAUGUAUCGAUGGCCUAGAUGUAUAAAGGAACAACACUUGAGUGAGUGAGUUCUAUGUAUCGAUGGACUAGAUGUAUAAAGGAACAACACUUGAGUGAGUGUGUUCUAUGUAUCGAUGGCCUAGAUGUAUAAAGAAACAACACUUGAGUGAGUGUGUUCAAUGUAUCGAUGGCCUAGAUGUAUAAAGGAACAACACUUGAGUGAGUGUGUUCUAUGUAUCGAUGGCUUAGAUGUAUAAAGGAACAACACUUGAGUGAGUGUGUUCUAUGUAUCGAUGGCCUAGAUGUAUAAAGUAACAACACUUGAUGGAGUGUGUUCUAUGUAUCGAUGGCCUAGAUGUAUAAAGUAACAACACUUGAUGGAGUGUGUUCUAUGUAUCGAUGGCCUAGAUGUAUAAAGGAACAACACUUGAUGGAGUGUGUUCUAUGUAUCGAUGGCCUAGAUGUAUAAAGGAACAACACUUGAGUGAGUCUGUUCUAUGUAUCGAUGGCCUAGAUGUAUAAAGGAACAACACUUGAGUGAGUAUGUUCUAUGUAUCGAUGGCGUAGAUGUAUAAAGGAACAAAAAUUGAGUGAGUGUGUUCUAUGUAUCGAUGGCCUAGAUGUAUAAAGGAACAACACUUGAGUGAGUGUGUUCUAUGUUGAAACCAUGAAAUUGGUUGCAGUCAGGUGCAUUACUUAUAGAAGUGACUUUUCAAAUGUACCGUUACACAAAUUCAUUAUUCCUGAAAUAUAAAUAAGAAUAUCGAGGUAGUAGUGGCACAUCUCAUUACCAUGGAGAUUUAUUUGGCCCUGCCCCCUAAGUCAUGGUCUAUUGACUUCGAAACUUGAACCUUAGUUUACAUGUAUUAGUUUGUGAUUAGGUCAGUUUAUAGGGAACCACUAGUGGUAGGUCAAUGAUAUUUGGUAUGCAGUUGUAUAAGCAUUGGCAUAUCUCAUUUCCAUGGAGAUUAUUUUGCCCCACCCCCCUCAGUCAUGGUCAAUUGACUUUGAAACUUUUGCUUAAUAGUUUAUAUGUAUUAGUUUGUGAUUAGGUCAGUUUAAGAUGAACCACUAAUGUCAUGAAUGUUAAGUCAAUGAUAUUUUGUAUGCAAAUGUAUUGGCAUUUGCAAGUUUCAUUUCCAUGAAGAUUAUAUAACCCCACACCCUCAUUAUAGUUCAUUGACUUUUACAUAGUUUACAAGUUUAUGUUUGUUUAAAGGGAACGACUUAUGAGAUGUCAGUGACCGAGUAUAUACAAAUUUGGUAUGCAGUUGUAUUAGUAUUGGCACAUCUCAUUUCCAUGGAGAUUGUUUAGCCCUGUACCUUCAGUAAUGGUUCAUUGACUUUGAAUAUUUGCAUAACUUACAUUAAAGUAGUGCUAUUUUAAUUUCAACAUUUGCGUUAUCAAAAUAACAAAUAGGCGAGACAUAUCCCUGUGUUAACAGUUCAUUUUGUUAUGUGAAAUACUCACUUAUUAUGCAUGUUAUAAGUCAGGCCAUAAUAGAUAAUAGGUUUGUUUGCCCAAACGCUACCUACCCAGAAAAAAGCUGCCUACUCAAAUUCUUUUAUUGUCCUGAUUUGAAGAAGUUUUUUUAAUCAAAUAGGCAUGAAGACUAAUAAACCAAAAAGAAAAAGAAAAUGCCUACCUACCUACCCACUAUCUCAACCUUUGGGUAGGGUUUGGGUAAAUCAAACUAUUUUUAUGUGUGGCCUCAUAUAAUAACUUUAUUUGGUAUAUUGGUUCCUCGCAACGUCCACAUGUUCGUCAGGUAGGGUUCAUCUGACCUUGGCCUUAUUCCAUGGAUCAGUGAUCAAUGUUAAAGUUAUGGGGUCAAUAUAAGCAAGAAGAUGUGGUAUGAUUGCCAAUGAGACAACUAUCCACAAAAGACCAACAUGACACAGACAUUAACAACUAUAGGUCACCGUACGGCCUUCAACAAUGAGCAAAGCCCAUACCGCAUAGUCAUCUAUAAAACGUCCCGAUAGGACAAUGUAAAACAAUUCAAACGAGAAAACUAACGGCCUUAUUUAUGUAAAAAAUUAACGAAAAACAAUUAUGUAACACAUAAACAAACGACAACCACUGAAUAUACAGGCUCCUGACUUGGGACAGGAACAUACAUAAAUAAUGUGGCGGGGUUAAACAUGUUAGGUCUGUAUCUCAGAUACUAUCAAUAGGUCUACUAUAAUUGGUGUAUCAUGUGUAUGGAAUGAUUGUGAGGUGUGCUUGUCCGAUUGACGGGAUUCAUCUGACCUUUAUCAGUGUGUAUUGGAUGAUUGCGGGAUUAAUUGUAAAGUGUACAUGUCUGUCUUGAAUGAUUCAUCAGACCGUGACCUCGUUUGCAUAGAACAUUGAUAAUGUUAAGUUUAUGUGAUACUUGUAAAGUCAAGGGAAUAACUUAUUAAUAAAUAAGUUAUUACAUGUAUUAGGAAAAAUAACAUAUGAUACAUGUCGUUAUAUUAUGUGGGCUAAAAUAUAAAAAAAACUGUGAUAACAUAUGUAUGUUACAUGUUUCAAAGUGGCAAUAGUUAUAUCCUCGGUUUUUGUCGAGCCUGCGACUUUUGUUGCAGAAAGCUCGACAUAGGGAUAGUGAUACGGCGGCGGCGUUAGCUAACUUCUUAAAAGCUUUAUAUUUUAGAAGGUGGAAGACCUGGAUGCUUCAUACUUUGUAUAUGGAUGCCUCAUGUUAUGAAGUUUCCGUCAGUCUGUCAUUUGUUUCUGGUGGAUAGCUGUCUCGUUUGCAAUCAUACUCGAUCUUUUUAUUUUUAAUUUAUGUUAUUCUCUGUAUAGAUGUUCAAACUAUUUAUUCUUAAUAUAUAAAAUACACAAUUAUUAUAAUCUUAAAAAUAAAUAAAUUCCAGCAUACACCACGAGAGACAGAGAUGUUGUCUAACAAUCGGUUGAUUUAUUAUUGUGUUGUUAAAUAUCAGUAGCCCCCUGUCACGUAUGAUAUCGUUAAUUAUCGCGAGAUUUAAACUCAAACGCGCAUAAAAUUUCGAGAUCAGCGUUGAUUAGUAGCGUAUGUGAAACUGGUCUAUUGAAAAGAUCUGGAAAUAUUGUUUAUGAAAUAGUUUUACGGAACAAAAACCUACGUUUUAUGUGUAGCACUUCACACUAAAUAGAAAAAAGAAGGUGUGGUAUGAUUGCCAAUGAGACAACUCUUCACAAGAGACAAAAUGACAAAGAAAUUAAUAACUAUAGGUCACGGUACAGCCUUCAACAAUGAGCAAAGCCCAUACCGCAUAGUCAGCUAUAAACAUGAUAAAUUAGGCCCCGAAAUGAAAAAUGUAAAACAACUCAAACGAGAAAACUAACAACCUAAUCUAUGUACAAAAAAUGAACGAAAAACAAAAAUAUAACACAGCAACAAACGACAACAACUGAAAUACAGGCUCCUGACUUGGGACAGGCACGUACAUACAGAAUGUGGGGUGGGGGUUAAACAUAUUAGCGGGAUCUCAACCCUACCCUAACCUGGGACAGUGGUGUAAUAGUACAACAUAAGAACGAACUAUAAAAUCAGUUGAAAAAGGCUUAACUCAGCCGAUGGGUACAAAUCGAAAUACAUCUAACAAAAACAAGUGGACGUGGCCGGGUACUUGUAUAUCCAAACAACUAAAAGACAUAAAGUACAGAUCUGAGAGUACUCGCAGGUACUGACAGCUAGUUCAAAGCCAGUAACAACUAAUGAGAAAUCAUGUAUCUAAGACUAAAUUAUUAAUCAUUACACAUCCAACAUCCAAUGGAUUUAGUGUCAAGAUGUCAUAAACAGUCAGAGAAAAAUACAACCUUGUGCAAUGCCAAGAUACAGGUGUCGAAAGCUUGUAGAUCCAUGAAUGUGCAUAUGUAUAUAACAAUAAUAUUUAGUUUGCUUUUAAUUUACUGAUAACAAAAUCAAUACUAAUACCAAUAAAACAGUAUUCAAACAUCUAACUACAGAGUUUAAUUGGUAACUUAAAGUUUAUUUACCUUUUUUGUCAUAAUUAGGUCUUUUCGUGGAAAGCCCUUUUGUUUUUCUUCUAAUUAUUUUUUUUUUCUUCUGCCGUCUGAGAUGCUUUUUUGUCUUACAACAUAUCGAAUGGAUUUUUUGGCCAAUGAUGUUGUACAGUAAUGGAGGUUUCAAAACUCACCCUGAGUGACCGAACACUUAUUCUUAUAAGAGUUAUCUCCCCGCGUCCCCUUUUUCUUGUUAUCGCUAUAUCUCUAAAACCGUAAAAGAUUUUAGCAAACUGUUUUCACCAAAUUGUUUGUCUACUCUUGAGAAUGAUUUGGUUCAUUUUGACUUUAGUGAACGGAAGACAUCUUAUGGGAGUUAUUAUUAAAGAUAGGUGAUUUGUUGGAUCAAUUCAUACGUUAUAAGUCGUAGAGGCCUACAGUUUUUUGAUAUGAAGUCCUUGGUCCAUUUGAAGGAAAUUCAGGUCAAGGUCAAAGGUCAAGGUCAUGUUCUAAAUUUUGAAUUUUGCUUGUUAUCGUUAUACCACAGAAACUGUGACAGUAAAUGAUAUGAUGUGUUUGCCAAAUAACUGUUUACAAUAAGGCGCAACUUCAACCUACUUCAGUCAAAGUGUUUUGGUUAACCCUUAUAGGAGUUUUCUCCCCUUAUGUAUUUGAAAUCAGUAUUUCUCCACAACCAUACAAAUGAUUGACCUGGGGUCUUUUGAUUUGAGAUCACUGACCUAUGACCUUGAAAUUGAAGUCAAGGUCAAAGGUCAAUUUGACAUUCUAGAUUUUCCCUUUAGUGAACGGAAGACAUCUUAUGGGAGUUAUUUGUCAAUAUUUUUAAAGUAAUAUUUUAUCUAAAAAUUAUUUCAAGUCUUCUGCAUACACCUAUUAGUUUUAUUUUUUAUAUCAAUUUGAAGAACCAAAUAACAUUAAAAAGGAGUGACAUUUUAUAACAUCAUUUUUUAAAUUUCAUUCUUAUUAUCGAGGUGGAAAGACCUUCAAUUGUUCUCUGAAGAAUUGGUUUUUAAUUCCAUAAGAUUUUAUUUUGAACCAUUUUGGAUAAGCUGUUUCAUUCGUAAAUACUUAACGGUGCGGUCCUAAUGAUAAAGACUUUAAAUAAAAAAUAAUAGAAGAUUACCACGAACAAUUUGAAAUUUUCUUGUUUCAUAGGUUGUACGAAAAUUUGUCAUCCAUUUAGAUAUCAAAAGUGGGGUUAACUGGCAAAAAAGACGAAACCAAUAUCUCGUCUUUCACUUUGGACUAGUCUGCUUCCCGAGUGGUAAACUGUAUUUUUUGUGCAAUAUGUUUAUUUUUCGCUCAUCCUGUAAUGACCAUUUAUGUCCUGAUUGUAAAUGAGCAUAAUCCCCCCCCCCCUUUUACGAACUUAUAUGAGGAUGACAUGCCUUGUAUGUUUAAAACAUCUGAGAAUAAAUGAUUGUCCCCAUAACAUAAAGAAUGAUGACAAAAAGGGGAGAGGAUCAAUAUUGUAAUAAAGCUGAAGUACACAGUAAUUCUAUACAUAUUUAUGUCUUAUAAAAAAAAUCAUACUGACUCACUCAGACUCGAAUCUUUCACACAAAAAUUCUGUAAGCAGGCUACAAAUUAAAAAACCUUGUCCUCUUAUACAUGUAAAUGAAAUUAUUGAUUAUUUCAAAGAUAUAAUAAUUUUUGUCAAUAUUUUUAAAGUAAUAUUUUAUCUGUAAUUAGUUUUACGUAGUUUUUAAAAUGGUAACCUUUUAACACUGAUUUUAGGACUUUAAGUGAUACACUUCUGUUGCUUUUGAUGUUACACAGGGGUUCCAGAUUCCAAAACUUUUGAUGUAACGUUGAUGAUCUGUUUAAUCAGAAACUUGACAUCUAUCAAUCCUCCAAUCAAUGGAUUUGACAGUCUACCACUACCAGGGGAAAUAACUCCAGGAUCUGAUCUAGCCAGGAUAAAAUGUUACAGGAAUAAACUAGCUCAUCAUGAUAGUAAUACAAUAGAUACUGCUUAUUUCAAAACAGCAUGGAGAGAUAUAUCAGAGGUAAGUUAGUUUCUACA
Molecule: long non-coding RNA, 16790 nt
Filed under: Mytilus galloprovincialis (Mediterranean mussel)
Lineage: Eukaryota; Metazoa; Mollusca; Bivalvia; Mytilida; Mytilidae
Source: RNAcentral